RNAcentral lists this ribosomal RNA (243 nucleotides) under uncultured bacterium. Its description in RNAcentral is "partial 16S ribosomal RNA". It matches the Rfam family "Bacterial small subunit ribosomal RNA", at positions 91 to 334 of the family's 1533-position model. The record is from RNAcentral.
CGGACCGGCGCACGGUGAGUAACGCGUAUGCAACUUACCUAUCAGGAGGGGAUAACCCGGCGAAAGUCGGACUAAUACCGCAUGAAGCAGGGGCCCCGCAUGGGGAUAUUUGCUAAAGAUUCAUCGCUGAUAGAUAGGCAUGCGUUCCAUUAGGCAGUUGGCGGGGUAACGGCCCACCAAACCGACGAUGGAUAGGGGUUCUGAGAGGAAGGUCCCCCACAUUGGUACUGAGACACGGACCAA